CAUAAACGAUGACGACCAGGGAUCAACGGAUGUUGCUUAUAAGACGCCACCAACACCUUAUGAGAAAUCAAAGUCUUUGGUU
This 82-nucleotide ribosomal RNA is filed under the name Triticum aestivum (bread wheat). RNAcentral describes it as "rRNA SSU_rRNA_eukarya". The record is from RNAcentral. Lineage: Eukaryota; Viridiplantae; Streptophyta; Magnoliopsida; Poales; Poaceae. RNAcentral also lists the same sequence under 1 other name.